UGGGGAAUAUUGGACAAUGGGCGAAAGCCUGAUCCAGCCAUGCCGCGUGUGUGAAGAAGGUCUUCGGAUUGUAAAGCACUUUAAGUUGGGAGGAAGGGCAGUAAGCGAAUACCUUGCUGUUUUGACGUUACCGACAGAAUAAGCACCGGCUAACUCUGUGCCAGCAGCCGCGGUAAUACAGAGGGUGCAAGCGUUAAUCGGAAUUACUGGGCGUAAAGCGCGCGUAGGUGGUUCGUUAAGUUGAAUGUGAAAGCCCCGGGCUCAACCUGGGAACUGCAUCCAAAACUGGCGAGCUAGAGUAGGGCAGAGGGUGGUGGAAUUUCCUGUGUAGCGGUGAAAUGCGUAGAUAUAGGAAGGAACACCAGUGGCGAAGGCGACCACCUGGGCUCAUACUGACACUGAGGUGCGAAAGCAUGGGGAGCAAACAGG
Molecule: ribosomal RNA, 429 nt
Filed under: Pseudomonadota bacterium
Lineage: Bacteria; Pseudomonadati; Pseudomonadota
Description: Proteobacteria bacterium partial 16S ribosomal RNA
Rfam family: Bacterial small subunit ribosomal RNA
Source: RNAcentral